This 301-nucleotide ribosomal RNA is filed under the name uncultured bacterium. RNAcentral describes it as "partial 16S ribosomal RNA". It matches the Rfam family "Bacterial small subunit ribosomal RNA", at positions 509 to 808 of the family's 1533-position model. The record is from RNAcentral.
CAGCCGCCGCGGUAAUACGUAGGUCCCGAGCGUUGUCCGGAUUUAUUGGGCGUAAAGCGAGCGCAGGCGGUUAGAUAAGUCUGAAGUUAAAGGCUGUGGCUUAACCAUAGUACGCUUUGGAAACUGUUUAACUUGAGUGCAGAAGGGGAGAGUGGAAUUCCAUGUGUAGCGGUGAAACGCGUAGAUAUAUGGAGGAACACCGGUGGCGAAAGCGGCUCUCUGGCUUGUAACUGACGCUGAGGAGCGAAAGCGUGGGGAGCGAACAGGAUUAGAUACCCGAGUAGUCCCUGUCUCUUAUACA